UGUACGAAUGUCUAUAUGUAAGCCAAGAGUGUGCGAUUGUGUGUUUGUAUGUAUGUAUAUGCGGUUAGCACAAAAUCCAGCGAGAAAGAAAGAAACAACCAACCAACAACACAGGCACAGCACAGCACGGUCAGGCUAGCGUCUGGCGGCAGUGGCUCGGGGCUCUGGCUCUGUAUGUAUGUACGAGUAUUAACUUCAAAAUAAAGUUCAGUUUAAGCUGGAGCGCAGCGCAGUCGUCGUCGUUUGUUCGUAAUGGUCGGGUCGGGUCCGUUCGGCUAGUUCCUAUAUGUACGCAUGAUACACCAGACACCAGAGCCCACAAAUAGUAGAUACAUGAGUACGGACACAAGAAAGGAACACGGACACGGACGACACGCUGCAAAAGGACACUUCAGGAGAAUAAAACUACCCUAAUAAAAACCCCAAAAAAAAAAAAAAAAAUCACCCGCUCCGCUCCUUCGGCUGGAACGAUAGUUUUAUAAUGCAUGAUAUAGGAGG
Drosophila obscura is the source of this 498-nucleotide long non-coding RNA. RefSeq lists it as uncharacterized. The record is from RefSeq and is a predicted model, not a curated record. The transcript has 2 exons. Lineage: Eukaryota; Metazoa; Arthropoda; Insecta; Diptera; Drosophilidae.